Molecule: ribosomal RNA, 238 nt
Filed under: uncultured bacterium
Lineage: Bacteria
Description: partial 16S ribosomal RNA
Rfam family: Bacterial small subunit ribosomal RNA
Source: RNAcentral
UACGGAGGGGGUUAGCGUUGUUCGGAAUUACUGGGCGUAAAGCGCACGUAGGCGGAUUAGUAAGUUAGAGGUGAAAUCCCAGGGCUCAACCUGGAACUGCCUUUAAUACUGCUAGUCUUGAGUUCGAGAGAGGUAAGUGGAAUUCCGAGUGUAGAGGUGAAAUUCGUAGAUAUUCGGAGGAACACCAGUGGCGAAGGCGACUUACUGGCUCGAUACUGACGCUGAGGUGCGAAAGCGU